AAGUCGUAACAAGGUUUCCGUAGGUGAACCUGCGGAAGGAUCAUUAUCACAAAUGAUUUUUAACUCUCUUAAUCCAGAGUUAAACCUCUUCUUAAACCAAUCUAAUUAAAAUGUGAAAUCGUUUUAUUUUUUUUUUAAGAACUUGGCAACAAGCCUUAAAAAAAAAAUUAUUAACCAAUUGAACCCUUUUCUAAUUAAUGUUAUUUUAUUUCUAUUUAGUUCUGAAAUACUAUUAUGCUGCUCUUCAUUGAGUAAUAUAAUAAGAUUACAUUACGAAACAAUAAAAAUAAAACAACUCUUAGCAACGGAUAUCUUGGUUCUC
Molecule: unclassified non-coding RNA, 322 nt
Filed under: fungal sp.
Lineage: Eukaryota; Fungi
Description: partial internal transcribed spacer region
Rfam family: Eukaryotic small subunit ribosomal RNA (bases 1-46)
Source: RNAcentral